GUGUCAGCAGCCGCGGUAAUACGGAGGGUGCGAGCGUUGUCCGGAAUCACUGGGCGUAAAGGGCGCGUAGGCGGCGCGGAAAGUCGUCGGUGAAAGCUCAGGGCUCAACUCUGAGUCUGCCGGUGAUACUCCCGCGCUCGAGCUCACUAGAGGCAGAUGGAAUUCCGGGUGUAGCGGUGGAAUGCGUAGAGAUCCGGAAGAACACCGGUGGCGAAGGCGGUCUGCUGGGGUGAGGCUGACGCUGAUGCGCGACAGCGUGGGGAGCAAACAGGAUUAGAAACCCCCGUAGUCC
This 292-nucleotide ribosomal RNA is filed under the name uncultured bacterium. Its description in RNAcentral is "partial 16S ribosomal RNA". It matches the Rfam family "Bacterial small subunit ribosomal RNA", at positions 505 to 796 of the family's 1533-position model. The record is from RNAcentral.